RNAcentral lists this unclassified non-coding RNA (214 nucleotides) under uncultured fungus. Its description in RNAcentral is "sequence contains ITS1, 5.8S rRNA gene". The stretch from base 166 to 214 matches the Rfam family "5.8S ribosomal RNA", at positions 1 to 49 of the family's 154-position model. Lineage: Eukaryota; Fungi. The record is from RNAcentral.
UCUCCGUUGGUGAACCAGCGGAGGGAUCAUUACAGAGUUUUUAACUCCCAAACCCUUUGUGAACUUACCUUGUUGCCUCGGGGCGCGCCUUCGCGGACGGCCCCAGAGGACCAACCAUCAAAACCCUGCGUCCCUGCGUCGGAGUACCUUUGAUAAAUCAAUCAAAACUUUCAACAACGGAUCUCUUGGUUCUGGCAUCGAUGAAGAACGCAGC